RNAcentral lists this ribosomal RNA (207 nucleotides) under uncultured bacterium. Its description in RNAcentral is "partial 16S ribosomal RNA". It matches the Rfam family "Bacterial small subunit ribosomal RNA", at positions 1286 to 1500 of the family's 1533-position model. The record is from RNAcentral.
UCUCAGUUCGGAUUGGAGUCUGCAACUCGACUCCAUGAAGCUGGAUUCGCUAGUAAUCGCGCAUCAGCCACGGCGCGGUGAAUACGUUCCCGGGCCUUGUACACACCGCCCGUCAAGCCAUGGAAGCCGGGAGUGCCUGAAGUGCGUGACCGCAAGGAACGCCCUAGGGUAAAACCGGUGACUGGGGCUAAGUCGUAACAAGGUACC